GCGUUGUUCGGAAUUACUGGGCGUAAAGGGCUCGUAGGCGGCCAACUAAGUCGGACGUGAAAUCCCCAGGCUCAACCUGGGAACUGCGUCCGAUACUGGAUGGCUUGAAUUCGGGAGAGGGAUGCAGAAUUCCAGGUGUAGCGGUGAAAUGCGUAGAUAUCUGGAGGAAUACCGGUGGCGAAGGCGGCAUCCUGGACCGACAUUGACGCUGAGGAGCGAAAGCUAG
Molecule: ribosomal RNA, 226 nt
Filed under: uncultured bacterium
Lineage: Bacteria
Description: partial 16S ribosomal RNA
Rfam family: Bacterial small subunit ribosomal RNA
Source: RNAcentral